RNAcentral lists this transfer RNA (77 nucleotides) under Halomonadaceae bacterium. RNAcentral's name for it is "tRNA-Arg". It matches the Rfam family "tRNA". From Rfam's summary of the family: Transfer RNA (tRNA) molecules are approximately 80 nucleotides in length. The record is from RNAcentral. RNAcentral also lists the same sequence under 1 other name. Lineage: Bacteria; Pseudomonadati; Pseudomonadota; Gammaproteobacteria; Oceanospirillales; Halomonadaceae.
GCCCUCGUAGCUCAGUUGGAUAGAGCGUCCGCCUCCUAAGUGGAAGGUCACAGGUUCAAUUCCUGUCGAGGGCACCA